UACAGAGGGUGCGAGCGUUAAUCGGAAUUACUGGGCGUAAAGCGUGCGUAGACGGUUAUUUAAGUCGGGUGUGAAAGCCCCGGGCUCAACCUGGGAAUUGCAUUCGAGACUGAAUAGCUAGGGUACGGUAGAGGGAAGUGGAAUUUCCGGUGUAGCGGUGAAAUGCGUAGAUAUCGGAAGGAACAUCAGUGGCGAAAGCGACUUCCUGGACCAGUACCGACGUUCAGGCACGAAAACGUGGGGAGCAAACAGG
RNAcentral lists this ribosomal RNA (253 nucleotides) under uncultured bacterium. Its description in RNAcentral is "partial 16S ribosomal RNA". It matches the Rfam family "Bacterial small subunit ribosomal RNA", at positions 524 to 776 of the family's 1533-position model. The record is from RNAcentral.